UGGGGCGUCGCCAAGUGGUAAGGCAUCGGUUUUUGGUACCGACAUUCGCAGGUUCGAAUCCUGCCGCCCCAGCCA
This 75-nucleotide transfer RNA is filed under the name Pelagibacterium sp. H642. RNAcentral's name for it is "tRNA-Gln". It matches the Rfam family "tRNA". From Rfam's summary of the family: Transfer RNA (tRNA) molecules are approximately 80 nucleotides in length. Lineage: Bacteria; Pseudomonadati; Pseudomonadota; Alphaproteobacteria; Hyphomicrobiales; Devosiaceae. RNAcentral also lists the same sequence under 3 other names. The record is from RNAcentral.